Molecule: transfer RNA, 81 nt
Filed under: Trichonephila clavata
Lineage: Eukaryota; Metazoa; Arthropoda; Arachnida; Araneae; Nephilidae
Rfam family: tRNA
About the family: Transfer RNA (tRNA) molecules are approximately 80 nucleotides in length.
Source: Rfam by way of RNAcentral
GCAGCUGUGGCCGAGUGGUUAAGACGAUGGACUAGAAAUCCAUUGGGUUUCCCAGCAUAGGUUCGAAUCCUACUGGCUGUG